RNAcentral lists this ribosomal RNA (1220 nucleotides) under Escherichia coli. RNAcentral's name for it is "partial 23S ribosomal RNA". It matches the Rfam family "Bacterial large subunit ribosomal RNA", at positions 522 to 1744 of the family's 2925-position model. Lineage: Bacteria; Pseudomonadati; Pseudomonadota; Gammaproteobacteria; Enterobacterales; Enterobacteriaceae. The record is from RNAcentral.
AACCCCGGCGAGGGGAGUGAAAAAGAACCUGAAACCGUGUACGUACAAGCAGUGGGAGCACGCUUAGGCGUGUGACUGCGUACCUUUUGUAUAAUGGGUCAGCGACUUAUAUUCUGUAGCAAGGUUAACCGAAUAGGGGAGCCGAAGGGAAACCGAGUCUUAACUGGGCGUUAAGUUGCAGGGUAUAGACCCGAAACCCGGUGAUCUAGCCAUGGGCAGGUUGAAGGUUGGGUAACACUAACUGGAGGACCGAACCGACUAAUGUUGAAAAAUUAGCGGAUGACUUGUGGCUGGGGGUGAAAGGCCAAUCAAACCGGGAGAUAGCUGGUUCUCCCCGAAAGCUAUUUAGGUAGCGCCUCGUGAAUUCAUCUCCGGGGGUAGAGCACUGUUUCGGCAAGGGGGUCAUCCCGACUUACCAACCCGAUGCAAACUGCGAAUACCGGAGAAUGUUAUCACGGGAGACACACGGCGGGUGCUAACGUCCGUCGUGAAGAGGGAAACAACCCAGACCGCCAGCUAAGGUCCCAAAGUCAUGGUUAAGUGGGAAACGAUGUGGGAAGGCCCAGACAGCCAGGAUGUUGGCUUAGAAGCAGCCAUCAUUUAAAGAAAGCGUAAUAGCUCACUGGUCGAGUCGGCCUGCGCGGAAGAUGUAACGGGGCUAAACCAUGCACCGAAGCUGCGGCAGCGACGCUUAUGCGUUGUUGGGUAGGGGAGCGUUCUGUAAGCCUGUGAAGGUGUACUGUGAGGUAUGCUGGAGGUAUCAGAAGUGCGAAUGCUGACAUAAGUAACGAUAAAGCGGGUGAAAAGCCCGCUCGCCGGAAGACCAAGGGUUCCUGUCCAACGUUAAUCGGGGCAGGGUGAGUCGACCCCUAAGGCGAGGCCGAAAGGCGUAGUCGAUGGGAAACAGGUUAAUAUUCCUGUACUUGGUGUUACUGCGAAGGGGGGACGGAGAAGGCUAUGUUGGCCGGGCGACGGUUGUCCCGGUUUAAGCGUGUAGGCUGGUUUUCCAGGCAAAUCCGGAAAAUCAAGGCUGAGGCGUGAUGACGAGGCACUACGGUGCUGAAGCAACAAAUGCCCUGCUUCCAGGAAAAGCCUCUAAGCAUCAGGUAACAUCAAAUCGUACCCCAAACCGACACAGGUGGUCAGGUAGAGAAUACCAAGGCGCUUGAGAGAACUCGGGUGAAGGAACUAGGCAAAAUGGUGCCGUAACUUCGGGAGAA